RNAcentral lists this non-coding RNA (28 nucleotides) under Bombyx mori (domestic silkworm). The record is from RNAcentral. Lineage: Eukaryota; Metazoa; Arthropoda; Insecta; Lepidoptera; Bombycidae.
UCUGAACUGAAUAUGCCUGUGCAGGAUC